AUUCAAAGAGGGCAUCCAGGAGUCAAAGAGUUAAAGAGAGCAUCCAGGAGUCAAAGGGGGCAUCCAGGAGUCAAAGAGUCAAAGAGAGCAUCUGGGAGUCAAACAGAGCAUCCAGGAGUCAAAGAGAGCAUCCAAGAGUCAAAGAGUCAACGAUUCAAAGAGAGCAUGCAGGAGUCAAAGAGUCAAACAGAACAUCCAGGAGUCAAAGAGAGCAUCCAGGAGUCAAAGACUCAAAGAGGGACGUUGGACAUUACUUAAUAACGGUAAACGUGAGAAGAAGGCUGGAUCUUCUUUGAGUUGUCGUGUUCCCACUUCAGUUAUCGUGAACUCGUCUCGCACAAUGUGCGGCAGCGACACCAACCUGGCUGAAGCCCCGCCCCCAAACGCCCAGAGGGACGGCGCUCGAGACCUCCGGGCGGCGAGUCUUUGUCGAUGAGUCAGAUACGCCAUCAGGAAGUCUUCGCUUUUACAGAUAUUGACGUUGAACAAGUUCGUGUUUUUCCUCAAAUGUCCAGUAUUCCUGUGGUUCCGCUUCUUUUACUUCAGUAAAACUGCAGCGAUGCUUGAAGUUAUUGUAUCUGCUCGCUUCUGGCGUCACCCAUCGGUUCGUGAACUGAUGUCUUGAAGCCUCGAAUUUGCCAUCUUGGCUUUUUUUGCAACCGGUGGACAGGAAGUGACCAUAUUUGGACGGCAGCAUAGUGAUGUAGUGACGCCGUAUACGUAUCAGGUGAUAGACCUGUUAAUCACCUGGUAGCUCCGCCCCUAAAGCGUCCCCUGCUUCAUGGUCUGACUCUAAAUGACCAUAAAGUGUAAAUGUUGACAUCAUGCUGUCUAGAAGAAGACUUGAAACUAUAGAGACUGAGACAUAAACUCAUGUAUACAAUGUUUACUGAGGGAAUACAUCAAGAGAAGUAGAGUCACUAUAUAGACUUCUAUACAACCAGAGGAGCCCCCUGGUGGUCAGGAGAGAGAAUGCAGCUUUAACACAUGAAGCAUAGACUUCUAUACAACCAGAGGAGUCACCCACUAGAGAGAGAAAGCAGCUUGUAUAGAAGACGAUGCUUCAUGAGUUAACGCUGCAUUCUCUCUCCUGACCACCAGGGGGCGACUCCUCUGGUUGUAUAGAAGCCUAAGCUUCAUGUGGUUGCUUUCAUCUCCAUUUAAAGCAGUCCAACUGCACCGAUGAUCUGUUGUAAGUUCAGAUCGAACUGAUCCAUUCUGUAUUAUUGUAUUGUUUAUAGACACAAAUAAAUACCACUUUUAGGA
Long non-coding RNA from Pseudoliparis swirei, 1266 nucleotides. RefSeq lists it as uncharacterized. The transcript is spliced from 2 exons. The record is from RefSeq and is a predicted model, not a curated record. Lineage: Eukaryota; Metazoa; Chordata; Actinopteri; Perciformes; Liparidae.